CCCUUAGAGUUUGAUCCUGGCUCAGAUUGAACGCUGGCGGCAGGCCUAACACAUGCAAGUCGAACGGUAACAGGAAGCAGCUUGCUGCUUCGCUGACGAGUGGCGGACGGGUGAGUAAUGUCUGGGAAACUGCCUGAUGGAGGGGGAUAACUACUGGAAACGGUAGCUAAUACCGCAUAACGUCGCAAGACCAAAGAGGGGGACCUUCGGGCCUCUUGCCAUCGGAUGUGCCCAGAUGGGAUUAGCUAGUAGGUGGGGUAACGGCUCACCUAGGCGACGAUCCCUAGCUGGUCUGAGAGGAUGACCAGCCACACUGGAACUGAGACACGGUCCAGACUCCUACGGGAGGCAGCAGUGGGGAAUAUUGCACAAUGGGCGCAAGCCUGAUGCAGCCAUGCCGCGUGUAUGAAGAAGGCCUUCGGGUUGUAAAGUACUUUCAGCGGGGAGGAAGGCGAUAAGGUUAAUAACCUUGUCGAUUGACGUACCCGCAGAAGAAGCCCGCACUCG
This 507-nucleotide ribosomal RNA is filed under the name uncultured bacterium. RNAcentral's name for it is "bacterial SSU rRNA". It matches the Rfam family "Bacterial small subunit ribosomal RNA", at positions 1 to 500 of the family's 1533-position model. The record is from RNAcentral.